Molecule: transfer RNA, 74 nt
Filed under: bacterium
Lineage: Bacteria
Description: tRNA-Ile
Rfam family: tRNA
About the family: Transfer RNA (tRNA) molecules are approximately 80 nucleotides in length. Their secondary structure includes four short double-helical elements and three loops (D, anti-codon, and T loops). Further hydrogen bonds mediate the characteristic L-shaped molecular structure. tRNAs have two regions of fundamental functional importance: the anti-codon, which is responsible for specific mRNA codon recognition, and the 3' end, to which the tRNAs corresponding amino acid is attached (by aminoacyl-tRNA synthetases). tRNAs cope with the degeneracy of the genetic code in two manners: having more than one tRNA (with a specific anti-codon) for a particular amino acid; and 'wobble' base-pairing, i.e. permitting non-standard base-pairing at the 3rd anti-codon position.
Source: RNAcentral
GGGCGAUUAGCUCAGUUGGUUAGAGCGCAGCACUGAUAAUGCUGAGGUCCCAGGUUCAAAUCCUGGAUCGCCCA